Molecule: long non-coding RNA, 1567 nt
Organism: Centrocercus urophasianus (Greater sage-grouse)
Lineage: Eukaryota; Metazoa; Chordata; Aves; Galliformes; Phasianidae
Exons: 3
Source: RefSeq, a predicted model, not a curated record
UGACUGUAAGCCAAAUAGUCGUUUUGUCCUCUUGGAGUUGUGUAGAAAACCUGUUGCUCCUUUGCAGUUUCACUGGAGGAAGAAAAUCCAUUGGGUGGGGAAGCUGUGCGUCAGUCUGCAAGACUUCUGCCCCAGCCGUGCAGGUGGAGCAAGGAAAGAGUCCCGCUUCUGCUGACCUCCUUUGCAGCAGCUUGCUCUCAUCCUCCUGCGUAACCCGGGAUUGGACUCGCUCAGUAUCCUGGGAGGGAGCUUGUCAAGAAGGACUCAGUGUGCUGGGCAGCCAAGUGCAGCCACGUGGCCUGGUAUUUUCAGGGCAGAUCACGGCACGCCUGUAACGAAUCCUGAGUUGAUGGCAGCGGUCGCGCCGGUAGAGUUUGGGGCUCUCCUCACAAGAGCUGUGUGCGUAAUGCCUCUGUCAUUUCUGAGGGAGGAAGGCCGGCUGAUGGAAUCCUUUGGACUGCGUGCCUCUGGCACUGAUGGUGAGCGGAUGUCAGCGGUUCAUGGGAUGCGAACAGCCUGCGUGCUGGGCGUCUGCACAGGCACUGAUAGGAGAAGCUGUGGGGCAGGGGUGUCAGCUAGAAAAUGGUAGUCACGUCUGCUGAUCUUACGUGCCAGAGCUAUUCCUGCGUCUGGACAUCCUACCCCUUUUGUCAUCAGCAACUUCCCUUUUGUACAUUCACGGUGAUUUAAUAACAGUUUGUGUUUCACCACACAGCGCUCUGCAUGAACGCUUGCAGCCUCCCUGCAAAGCUGUCGUACGUUGAAGCUUUUGCAUGUGAGUGUCUCUCUGUGUCUUUUCCGUUUCUUCUGCUUCUCUGCAGUUGGUUCUCUUGUGGAAACAAGGAACAGAGUCUGUUUUCAGCUCUGCAGAGCAGAAGAGCAGCUCUCAGGCUUUGUAAAAACUGGCACCACUGGGAGAACUUGACUGCUUGAACCUUCUGCUUGACUGUAUGUGGAAGGCAAGUGCUUGUUACUUUUCCCUGUCCUCAGUUUGAGGUGGUGGCUUGGCUUUUUUCCUUCUCCAAAAGUCAGUAACGUAGCUGAAGAAAGUACAAGCUUUUCUGCACAAAUUCGCCCUUGAUCUUUAGUAGCGAACUGAGAACAACAAAUUUGUUUAACGUAAAGUGCUCUGCCUAAAACUUUCUCAAAUCCAAACAGGACUUAUGGUAAUGUGGGAGCAACUUAACUUCAGCACCGUGUGCCAACCAUGGAAAUGAAGAUGCACUGGGAUAGGGCUGCGUGCUGUGGAGAAGGCUGCGCUGCUGUCAGUCGAGCCCAGAGUCUGCGUUGCUCUUGGUGCACGUUGGCGUCAAGCCUGUGUAGAAUAUCGCUGUCCUCGGCUGGAAGGACUGACAGUCCUGGAAUCACAUCUCGUGGCACAAAAGGUACCCCAGGCCUCCAGGUGCUCUGCUGCCAUGGCACGGCGGCCUCUCAUUGUCCCUAGAGGCUGGUUUGUGCCUGGUGCACGGUGCACUCAGACUCACGCGAGCCUUCCGUCAAGGGGGCAGUUGUUACUCUGGGAGCAGUUCCAGCCUGGGCUUCUGCUGGAGCCCCGUGGCGUUGCUUU